Molecule: transfer RNA, 63 nt
Filed under: Varanus nebulosus (Clouded monitor)
Lineage: Eukaryota; Metazoa; Chordata; Lepidosauria; Squamata; Varanidae
Description: tRNA-Tyr
Source: RNAcentral
GGUAAGGUGGCCGAGUAGGCGGUAAGCUGUAAACUUACUUACGGGGUUAAUCCUCCCUUAUCA